RNAcentral lists this ribosomal RNA (264 nucleotides) under uncultured bacterium. RNAcentral's name for it is "partial 16S ribosomal RNA". It matches the Rfam family "Bacterial small subunit ribosomal RNA", at positions 89 to 354 of the family's 1533-position model. The record is from RNAcentral.
UGGCGACCGGCGCACGGGUGAGUAACACGUAUCCAACCUGCCGAUGACUCGGGGAUAGCCUUUCGAAAGAAAGAUUAAUACCCGAUGGCAUAGUUCUUCCGCAUGGUAGAACUAUUAAAGAAUUUCGGUCAUCGAUGGGGAUGCGUUCCAUUAGCUUGUUGGCGGGGUAACGGCCCACCAAGGCAUCGAUGGAUAGGGGUUCUGAGAGGAAGGUCCCCCACAUUGGAACUGAGACACGGACCAGACUCCUACGGGAGGCAGCAG